This 504-nucleotide ribosomal RNA is filed under the name uncultured bacterium. RNAcentral describes it as "partial 16S ribosomal RNA". It matches the Rfam family "Bacterial small subunit ribosomal RNA", at positions 28 to 523 of the family's 1533-position model. The record is from RNAcentral.
GAUAAACGCUAGCGGCAGGCUUAACACAUGCAAGUCGAGGGGCAGCAUAGAUUGUAGCAAUACAAUUGGUGGCGACCGGCGCACGGGUGCGUAACGCGUAUGCAACCUACCCGUCACAGGGGGAUAAUCCGGAGAAAUCUGGUCUAAUACCCCAUAACAUAUGGAUCGGCAUCGGUUCAUGUUGAAAUUUUCGGAGGUGACGGAUGGGCAUGCGUAGCAUUAGCUUGUUGGUGAGGUAACGGCUCACCAAGGCGACGAUGCUUAGGGGGACUGAGAGGUUUUCCCCCCAAACUGGUACGGGGACACGGACCAGACUCCUACGGGAGGCAGCAGUGAGGAAUAUUGGUCAAUGGGCGCAAGCCUGAACCAGCCAUGCCGCGUGCAGGAUGACGGCUCUAUGAGUUGUAAACUGCUUUUGUACGAGGGUAAAGUGGGUUACGUGUAACCUUUUGAAAGUAUCGUACGAAUAAGGAUCGGCUAACUCCGUGCCAGCCGCCGCCGUAA